This 85-nucleotide transfer RNA is filed under the name Methanosphaerula palustris E1-9c. RNAcentral describes it as "tRNA-Leu (TAG) (tRNA-Leu-TAG-1-1)". It matches the Rfam family "tRNA". Rfam says of the family: Transfer RNA (tRNA) molecules are approximately 80 nucleotides in length. Their secondary structure includes four short double-helical elements and three loops (D, anti-codon, and T loops). The record is from Rfam by way of RNAcentral. Lineage: Archaea; Methanobacteriati; Methanobacteriota; Methanomicrobia; Methanomicrobiales; Methanoregulaceae.
GCGAGGGUAGUCAAGCCAGGUCAACGGCGCUGGAUUUAGGGUCCAGUCUCGAAGGAGUUCAAGGGUUCGAAUCCCUUCCCUCGCA